AAACAUGUUCUUUUGUUUAUAUAAAAGAUUUGACCUGCCCCAUGAUUAUUAUUUAAUGGCUGCAGUAUUUUGACUGUACAAAGGUAGCAUAAUCAUUUGUCUUUUAAUUGAAGUCUGGAAUGAAUGGUUUGAUGAAAAAUAUACUUUCUUUAUUUUAUAUUAAGAACUUAAUUUUUUAGUUAAAAAGCUAAAAUUUUUUUAUAGGACGAGAAGACCCUAUAGAGCUUUAUUUUUAAUUUUAUAUAUUUAAUAUAGAAUUUGUUUUGUUUAUAUAAAAGUUAGAUUUUGUUGGGGUGACAGAAAAAAUUUAAUAACUUUUUCUAUUUUUGUCACUAUCUAUGAAUUUUUGAUCCUUUUUUAGGGAUAAAAGAGUAAGUUACCUUAGGGAUAACAGCGUUAUUAUUUCGGAGAGUUCAUAUCGAUGAAAUAGUUUGCGACCUCGAUGUUGGAUUAUAAUAAGAUACAGGAGUAGAGUAUUGUAUUCUAGGUCUGUUCGACCUUUAAAUUUUUACAUGAUCUGAGUUCAAAAC
RNAcentral lists this ribosomal RNA (530 nucleotides) under Orthotylini sp. WA0909msp303 268. RNAcentral describes it as "partial 16S ribosomal RNA". It matches the Rfam family "Bacterial large subunit ribosomal RNA", at positions 1811 to 2617 of the family's 2925-position model. The record is from RNAcentral. Lineage: Eukaryota; Metazoa; Arthropoda; Insecta; Hemiptera; Miridae.